Molecule: ribosomal RNA, 1496 nt
Filed under: uncultured bacterium
Lineage: Bacteria
Description: bacterial SSU rRNA
Rfam family: Bacterial small subunit ribosomal RNA
Source: RNAcentral
AGAGUUUGAUUAUGGCUCAGAUGGAACGCGGGCGCAGCCUUAACACAUGCAAGUCGAACGGUAACAGGAAGCAGCUUGCUGCUUUGCUGACGAGUGGCGGACGGGUGAGUAAUGUCUGGGAAACUGCUGAUGGAGGGGGAUAACUACUGGAAACGGUAGCUAAUACCGCAUAACGUCGCAAGACCAAAGAGGGGGACCUUCGGGCCUCUUGCCAUCGGAUGUGCCCAGAUGGGAUUAGCUAGUAGGUGGGGUAACGGCUCACCUAGGCGACGAUCCCUAGCUGGUCUGAGAGGAUGACCAGCCACACUGGAACUGAGACACGGUCCAGACUCCUACGGGAGGCAGCAGUGGGGAAUAUUGCACAAUGGGCGCAAGCCUGAUGCAGCCAUGCCGCGUGUAUGAAGAAGGCCUUCGGGUUGUAAAGUACUUUCAGCGGGGAGGAAGGGAGUAAAGUUAAUACCUUUGCUCAUUGACGUUACCCGCAGAAGAAGCACCGGCUAACUCCGUGCCAGCAGCCGCGGUAAUACGGAGGGUGCAAGCGUUAAUCGGAAUUACUGGGCGUAAAGCGCACGCAGGCGGUUUGUUAAGUCAGAUGUGAAAUCCCCGGGCUCAACCUGGGAACUGCAUCUGAUACUGGCAAGCUUGAGUCUCGUAGAGGGGGGUAGAAUUCCAGGUGUAGCGGUGAAAUGCGUAGAGAUCUGGAGGAAUACCGGUGGCGAAGGCGGCCCCCUGGACGAAGACUGACGCUCAGGUGCGAAAGCGUGGGGAGCAAACAGGAUUAGAUACCCUGGUAGUCCACGCCGUAAACGAUGUCGACUUGGAGGUUGUGCCCUUGAGGCGUGCUUCCGGAGCUAACGCGUUAAGUCGACCGCCUGGGGAGUACGGCCGCAAGGUUAAAACUCAAAUGAAUUGACGGGGGCCCGCCCAAGCGGUGGAGCAUGUGGUUUAAUUCGAUGCAACGCGAAGAACCUUACCUGGUCUUGACAUCCACGGAAGUUUUCAGAGAUGAGAAUGUGCCUUCGGGAACCGUGAGACAGGUGCUGCAUGGCUGUCGUCAGCUCGUGUUGUGAAAUGUUGGGUUAAGUCCCGCAACGAGCGCAACCCUUAUCCUUUGUUGCCAGCGGUCCGGCCGGGAACUCAAAGGAGACUGCCAGUGAUAAACUGGAGGAAGGUGGGGAUGACGUCAAGUCAUCAUGGCCCUUACGACCAGGGCUACACACGUGCUACAAUGGCGCAUACAAAGAGAAGCGACCUCGCGAGAGCAAGCGGACCUCAUAAAGUGCGUCGUAGUCCGGAUUGGAGUCUGCAACUCGACUCCAUGAAGUCGGAAUCGCUAGUAAUCGUGGAUCAGAAUGCCACGGUGAAUACGUUCCCGGGCCUUGUACACACCGCCCGUCACACCAUGGGAGUGGGUUGCAAAAGAAGUAGGUAGCUUAACCUUCGGGAGGGCGCUUACCACUUUGUGAUUCAUGACUGGGGUGAAGUCGUAACAAGGU